RNAcentral lists this unclassified non-coding RNA (188 nucleotides) under plant metagenome. Its description in RNAcentral is "partial contains small subunit ribosomal RNA, internal transcribed spacer 1, and 5.8S ribosomal RNA". The record is from RNAcentral.
UCUCCGUUGGUGAACCAGCGGAGGGAUCAUUACAGAGUUUUCACAACGCCCAACCCUUGCGAGCCGUACCCAUUCUGUUCUCGUUGCUUCCGGCGGGCCCUACGAACCUUGCUAUCUAAACCACCAGUAAACGUCUGAGAAAACAAACAAAAUAAUCAAAACUUUCAACAACGGAUCUCUUGGCUCUG